CAUGCAAGUCGAGCGGUAACAUUGGGAGCUUGCUCCCAGAUGACGAGCGGCGGACGGGUGAGUAAUACUUAGGAAUCUACCUAGUAGUGGGGGAUAGCUCGGGGAAACUCGAAUUAAUACCGCAUACGACCUACGGGAGAAAGGGGGCAACUUGUUGCUCUCGCUAUUAGAUGAGCCUAAGUCGGAUUAGCUAGAUGGUGGGGUAAAGGCCUACCAUGGCGACGAUCUGUAGCUGGUCUGAGAGGAUGAUCAGCCACACCGGGACUGAGACACGGCCCGGACUCCUACGGGAGGCAGCAGUGGGGAAUAUUGGACAAUGGGGGCAACCCUGAUCCAGCCAUGCCGCGUGUGUGAAGAAGGCCUUUUGGUUGUAAAGCACUUUAAGCAGUGAAGAAGACUCCGUGGUUAAUACCCACGGACGAUGACAUUAGCUGCAGAAUAAGCACCGGCUAACUCUGUGCCAGCAGCCGCGGUAAUACAGAGGGUGCAAGCGUUAAUCGGAAUUACUGGGCGUAAAGCGAGCGUAGGUGGCUUGAUAAGUCAGAUGUGAAAUCCCCGGGCUUAACCUGGGAACUGCAUCUGAUACUGUUAGGCUAGAAUAGGUGAGAGGAAGGUAGAAUUCCAGGUGUAGCGGUGAAAUGCGUAGAGAUCUGGAGGAAUACCGAUGGCGAAGGCAGCCUUCUGGCAUCAUAUUGACACUGAGGUUCGAAAGCGUGGGUAGCAAACAGGAUUAGAUACCCUGGUAGUCCACGCCGUAAACGAUGUCUACUAGUCGUUGGGUCCCUUGAGGACUUAGUGACGCAGCUAACGCAAUAAGUAGACCGCCUGGGGAGUACGGCCGCAAGGUUAAAACUCAAAUGAAUUGACGGGGGCCCGCACAAGCGGUGGAGCAUGUGGUUUAAUUCGAUGCAACGCGAAGAACCUUACCUGGUCUUGACAUAUCUAGAAUCCUGCAGAGAUG
Molecule: ribosomal RNA, 961 nt
Filed under: Psychrobacter sp. UA-AR0209
Lineage: Bacteria; Pseudomonadati; Pseudomonadota; Gammaproteobacteria; Moraxellales; Moraxellaceae
Description: bacterial SSU rRNA
Rfam family: Bacterial small subunit ribosomal RNA
Source: RNAcentral